Saccostrea cuccullata (small rock oyster) is the source of this 3411-nucleotide long non-coding RNA. RefSeq lists it as uncharacterized. NCBI's taxonomy places the organism in Eukaryota, Metazoa, Mollusca, Bivalvia, Ostreida, Ostreidae. The transcript has 2 exons. The record is from RefSeq and is a predicted model, not a curated record.
UUUCUCCCCCCCCCCCCCACCCCCAACCACUAUAAAUUAAUGUUUGGAUUUGUAUAAUGCCAAGAAAUUUUGAUACCAUUAUUUAUCUAGAAACUUCAUUCCACAUUUAAAUGUCCUCAUAUGAAAGACAUUUUGAUGUGAAGAUUUUUUUGCAAUUAUUGCCCUUGUUGAUCUAUACUAUGUAUUUAAAGUACACUGUGUAUUUCAUUAUGUGUUUCACCGUCAAGUUUUGGGAGAGCGUGGGGUAUGUGAGCUAGCGCACUUUUUCUUUCAUUUAAUAUUUGUUAUAAUUAAUGCCCACAUCACAGGGGAUGGAUAAAAAAGAUAAUUGUAAUUUUCUGACGGGCGUAUCAUGCUGUGGCGUGGCACUUUAUCGUCCAGCCAUUACUAGAAAUUAAAGAAAUUGAAAGGAAGCUAUGCAAUUAAACCGAGAAAAAAUGGAAAGAAGGCUUACCAAAAUAAAGGACAGAUCUCUCUAACAUUUUUAACGAAACAUGAGUUCGGUGUCCAACCCUCAGACAAAAUUUAAUGACAGUGCAACUUCUGCAUAUUAAUUAUGUUUAGUUGCAAUUUUUUUAUGGAAUAUCACCCGUAGUCAAGGAAUGUUACCGUUGCUUCGCUGGUGAUAACGGCUUCAUCAUUAAUCAGAUAAUAGUGCUUUUAACAAAUGAAUAGCAUUUAAUCAAAACCAAUUAAUUAACAUGAAAGUUUAAUGUUUUAGAAUUGAUAAAACUGAAGAAGGUUUAGAGACAAUCAAAUCAAAUGUCAAAGAAAUAGAAAAAAUAAUCAACCGUAAUGAAGGAGCUACAGAAUAGGGGCUCGUUGAAUAUUGUGUAGAAUAUUAAAGAAUUGCAUGUUUUACAUAGUUUUAUGAGAAUGGAGAGUUCAUUUGAUGUAAAUGUGCAUCCUAUACUGCUUGUACCUAUUUUAGAGUAGCUGCAUAGUUCAAAUUUGUAUGGAAGUGUCGGACGAGAAAAGAAUAUUUUUAUUAACGAACACAGAUUUGCGAUCCAACUUUGUUGCUUGUAUUGAUUGAUCAUUCCAUUUUGAUUUUGUAUUGUAAACUAAAUAUCCAUUGCUUAUAUAAAUAUACAUGUACAUUAUAUUUUAUUAGUACAAAGAUUUACAAUCCUACUGUGUAGCUUUAUAUGUUUUUUUUAUUUAUGUAUUGUGUUAUUUAUAUCCAACAUGCUUCAAUUGAUUGACAGAAUGUUUUAUGAUAAUAAAAAUAUUCAAGCAUAUAAUUCAUAGGCGUCGGAACGGGAGGGGGGCUAUAUUUUUUGCAAAUAUAUACAUAAUACAUUGUUAGAUAGACAUUAAAAAUUUUAGUUUACCUUAUUUUUCUGGUUUAGCUCCCCCCCCCCCACACACAUAUACACAAAUUCAGUUUGCUUCCGACGCCUAUGUAAUAAAAUACCUCUUUGGCUCUCUACUGAGCACCUUGGGGCUUAAAAUGCUGACAAGCUCACUGUAACAACGGUGACUAAGGGCAGGGUCACUUUAUUGAUCCAUCUGUAUGUAAAUCAGCAAUCAAAUCAAUAUAUUGAAUAUUUUUUUCUACCUAUUAGACGAUUUUUUUUCGGCACUAACGGGAAUAACAAUGCCAGUAUACUGUACCUGUCCAUACAUAUCCAUCGAUUAUUUUCCUUAAAUCACAGGACAUCAUAUAUUUAUUGACUAUACUUUAAGUGAAUAGACACUAGACAAAUUUUGACAUAUUCAGUAAUUGCAUUAUUUAUAUCUAUAAAUGAAUAGGUAGGCAUGUUGAGCAGUGAAGGAUAAGGAUAUCUUUUUCGUUAUGAACAGUCUUUAAAGGGGCAUAGACACAGUUCAGCUAAAAUAUUUAACUAAGGUCUUUCUAAUGAUCAUAAAAAAUUUAGAAUUCAGUUGUUGAGAUACAAGACAGAUUUAGAGCUCCAAACCUUGGUUAUGUAAACAGAGUUCGUGUCAUGUUUCGUUUACAUAGAUUAAUUUACUAAUAUAUGUUCGUUUAAGGCAAAUAAGCUCAGUUAUGAAGUUAAUUCUAAAUACUAUUAGAAAGUUUCUAGUGAUUUGCUGAAUUUCAUUUUGUUAUAAAUAUAUUUUCUACAUGUAAACAAAAACGAGGCACGAACCUUGUUUACAUUCUGAAGAACUUUUAGUUCUGUAUCACGUUUGUUAAUCAAUAAAUGAUGUUCAAAUUCUUGCUGAUCAUUAGAUGAUGCAUUAUUUAGGAAUUGUAAGCAUUGAAAUUGAUUAAAAAAUUUAGUUGAAACUGUAUCCAUGUCCCUUUAAGUCCAACAGUGGGAUUCGAACCCUUUAAGUCCCACACUGGGAUUCGAACCCUUUAAGUCCCACACUGGGAUUCGAACCCGUGAGAUAAGGAUUAACUCCUUACUUCCCCGAAUCAAGAGCAGAUGCUCUAACUAGAUAGGCGACUGUAUCUAAGGAAUAUAUGAAUAGAAGUAAUAUGAAUCAAUUUGUUUAUAUUUCAUAUAAUAUUUUUAAAAAAGGGGGGCUUCCAAUUGUAGGUAUUUAAAGUAGAAAAUAGUUUCUAAGGUAGGAUUCUUCUCACACAAAACUAUUUCUUGUAUUUAAAAAUUAAUGAAAUUUUCAUAGAAUCGAGAAGACUAUAUUACUAAGUGAUGGUAUUAGUAACAUAAGAUUCGACUGUUUUAUAGUACAGUCAUGGUCAGGUCGAGGUCAUUUACUUUUCCCUGAUCAUUAAGAAUUAAAAAAAAAAAACUGCAUCCAGUCAUGAGAUAAGGUCUUCUAUUUCAAAAGAAGAAAUGUUUUUCUUUUUGCAUAGAAAGAUAUUAGGUACCAUAAAGGAUCUUUAAGUUGAUAUAACCAAAUUGACACAAAUAGUUUAACAAAAGUAGAUUUUGGCUAAUUCGAAUUUUCUCUGUUUUUCUUUAUUUGUAGGAUAUUAAAAUUAUUUUUAUAUGCGCCCUAUCUUAAAAUUUUUCUUAUUUUUUACAUAUGGUAAAGCAGUCAUGUAGAGAUACAAAAUGAUGCAAAAUUAAAAGAUUUGACCGUUUAGUAAGAGAGUAAAACCACUUCCUAUGGAUUUUUGGCUCAUAUCUGUACUUAGAGUUUAAGCCUUUAAAAGCUAACGUAAUUGUAGAUUGCUUGGAAAUGCAUAUUUAUUUGAUAUAUCUAAACUUUAGUUCCUUAUUAUAAAUUAACAUUUGAAAAAAAAAAUCUUCUAGUCUUUGAUUGUGUAAAAAUUAUAAGUAAAUCAGUAGUUUUAUAAUAAUUUUGAGAAGAAGAAUAGAAGAUAUUUUUGUACGCCACCAUUCAUAUCCACUAUUUCCUGCUAGUUUUCGAAAAUAAUUUACCAUCUGUAUUUAAAGUUGUACAAUGGUGAUGGGGAAAGAAAGAUAUGGUCUUUUAAAUACUGCUCACAAAUAAACUGUUUCAAGCAACAUC